ACAGGGCAGAAGAAUUACCCAUACAGCAGGAGGAAUGUAACCAGCAUAAAGCAACAAUCCCCAUGCAGACCAGUGUGGGAACACAAGGAAAAUGGCAAUUUGUGUCACGUAAAUAACAUUCUAAUUAUUCUGGGAACACUGGGAUCUUGACUGAUAUCAAAGGUUUUCAGACACCUUUGCAGAAGAGUACAGUCUCCUGUGUUUUGGCUUUUCUCACAGUUGCAAAUCUUACCCUGUAAACUUGUUAUCCAGCUGUAUAUCAGGAGAGAAGAAAUUCAGAUGUUUAUAGAAAUGAACAAUGUGGCUGCACAACCAUUCCAGUGAUCACCAGAUCACUGGUGAAAGACAACCAUGGAAUAUGCAGGAGGGAAACUAUUCUUUGGAGCAGGGUGGAUACAAUUUGGUGUAAGCAACUAUAGUAACUUUAGGCAAGAUGCAGAUCCAGAGUGAAAGUCAGAAAUGUGGAAAAUGCAAAGAAAAAUAGAAGGAAUACAGGAGAAAAUGAAGAAAAAAAAAAUAAAAAAGAGAAUAAAGGAAGAAGAAAGAAGAAUAAAAAAAAAAAAAAGGAAAAAAAAAAAACAAAAAUGAAGAAGAGGAGACAGAAAAAAAAAGACACUAAUGAUUCAGGAGCAUAGUUAAGCUAAAGUAAAUCAUAAUUUUAAAAUAA
Molecule: long non-coding RNA, 667 nt
Organism: Oenanthe melanoleuca
Lineage: Eukaryota; Metazoa; Chordata; Aves; Passeriformes; Muscicapidae
Exons: 2
Source: RefSeq, a predicted model, not a curated record